CGUUUUCGAUGGUAUUUAAGCCACGGUGGAAAUUAAAAUCGCAUAGUUCUGAACAAGAUUAGACACUGUCAAUACCUCAUAAAAAUGGUCAAGUUUUUGGUAAUUAUGGCGACAUUGGUGGCUGCGGCCCUAGCUUACCCUGGUGGCGGUAGCUUCGAUGGCCACGGAAGUCACAGUAAUGGCGGUCACGACGAUGGCCAUCACGAUGGCCACGGCCACAGAGGAAACGACGAUUUCGGAGGCGGCCAUGGAAGCUACGGCCACGAUAGUCAUGGCCACGGAGGUCAUGGA
Long non-coding RNA from Cydia amplana, 291 nucleotides. RefSeq lists it as uncharacterized. The record is from RefSeq and is a predicted model, not a curated record. The transcript has 3 exons. NCBI's taxonomy places the organism in Eukaryota, Metazoa, Arthropoda, Insecta, Lepidoptera, Tortricidae.